RNAcentral lists this ribosomal RNA (253 nucleotides) under uncultured bacterium. RNAcentral's name for it is "partial 16S ribosomal RNA". It matches the Rfam family "Bacterial small subunit ribosomal RNA", at positions 524 to 776 of the family's 1533-position model. The record is from RNAcentral.
UACGUAGGGGGCAAGCGUUGUUCGGAUUUACUGGGCGUAAAGCGUGCGUAGGCGGUUCAGCAAGUCUAGCGUGAAAUUUGCACACUCAACGUGCAAAUGUCGUUGGAAACUGCUGGGCUAGAGGAUGGAAGGGGAGAGCGGAAUUUCAGGUGUAGCGGUGGAAUGCGCAGAUAUCUGGAAGAACACCGGUGGCGAAGGCGGCUCUCUGGUCCAUUACUGACGCUGAGGCACGAAAGCCAGGGGAGCGAACGGG